AUGGGGAGGGCGCCGUGCUGCGAGAAGGUGGGGCUGAAGCGGGGGAGGUGGACGGCGGAGGAGGACGACAUACUCGCAAACUACAUUGCCAAGCACGGCGAGGGCUCAUGGAGGUCUCUGCCCAAGAAUGCAGGGCUACUGAGGUGUGGCAAGAGCUGCAGGCUGCGGUGGAUCAACUACCUCAGAGACGGGGUGAGGAGAGGCAACAUCUCCAAGGAGGAGGACGACCUCAUCGUCAAACUUCAUGCCACCCUUGGCAACAGAUGGUCCCUGAUCGCCAGCCACCUACCAGGACGAACAGACAACGAGAUCAAGAACUACUGGAACUCGCAUCUCAGCCGGCAGAUCCACACCUUUCGAAGGAUCUACACCACCGUCAGCGACACCGCCAUAACCGUCGACAUCAACAAGCUUUCCGCCGCCGGCAAGCGGCGCGGCGGCCGCACCCCUGGCCAGUCGCCAAGGAGCAGCACAAAGAAGAAGCCGGUGCCGGAGCCCAUCACCAAGGCGAAGGACGAAUCUAGCCCGGCCGGCGCUGCGUCAUCGGUGUCAAGCUCACCUCAGAGCGACGAGGCUAGAAGCGCGGUGGUCGACCCGGACCAGAACCAGCCCAACAACAGCAUCAGUGUCAGCCACACUUCUGAUGGGCCCUGCAGCGAGGAUGGGACGUGGCCCAUGGUCAUGGACCCUGUAGAUCAGACUGGCGUCCUCGAGGCGAACUGCACGGUGGAUCAGCAGAUGGGGCUCUGGGAAGUGAACAGCUCAAUGAAUCAGAUUGGGAUCAUGGAGGACGAGAGCGAGAUGCAGGCACUCCUGUCCAGCAGCGUUACAGCAGAGAAUGGGCUUGUUGGCAUCGAUCCCGGAGGCCUGUCUCAGGUGGACCAUCUCUUGGACAUGGACUGGGAGGGGUUUGCAUCCCAUCUAUGGGACCAGCCAGCCCAGAAUGGCCUUCUACAGCCCGCUGAGCCGCAGGCGGCGACGGGCUCCGAGUCGGACGAGCUAGAGUCGUUCGUCAGUUGGCUCCUCUCCGACGCGUGCUGA
RNAcentral lists this ribosomal RNA (1041 nucleotides) under Triticum aestivum (bread wheat). RNAcentral's name for it is "partial small subunit ribosomal RNA". Lineage: Eukaryota; Viridiplantae; Streptophyta; Magnoliopsida; Poales; Poaceae. The record is from RNAcentral.